CCACCUGCACCAACCGUGAAAAUGAGAAUUAUGCUCAUGAAAAGUGUGCAAGUGUGUUGAACCACCCAACUGGGAUAUUUGCUGUGUGCCACCGUCAUAUCCCAACUGAUUACUACUACACGGCUUGCAUUCAAAGAAUAUGUAACUCUGGCAGAAGUCGGAG
This is a long non-coding RNA of Pungitius pungitius (ninespine stickleback), 163 nucleotides long. RefSeq lists it as uncharacterized. The record is from RefSeq and is a predicted model, not a curated record. The transcript has 3 exons. Lineage: Eukaryota; Metazoa; Chordata; Actinopteri; Perciformes; Gasterosteidae.